GAUGAACGCUGGCGGCGUGUUUAACACAUGCAAGUCGAGCGAGAAGUUUUGAAAAGAUUCUUCGGAUGAAAUUUAAAAUGGAAAGCGGCGGACGGGUGAGUAACGCGUAGGCAACCUGCCCCAUACAAAGGGAUAGCAUUUGGAAACGAAUAUUAAUACCUUAUGAAACUUAACUAGUGCAUGCUAGGUAGGUCAAAGAUUUAUCGGUAUGGGAUGGGCCUGCGUCUGAUUAGCUAGUUGGUGAGGUAACGGCUCACCAAGGCGACGAUCAGUAGCCGACCUGAGAGGGUGAACGGCCACAUUGGAACUGAGACACGGUCCAAACUCCUACGGGAGGCAGCAGUGGGGAAUAUUGCACAAUGGGGGAAACCCUGAUGCAGCAACGCCGCGUGAACGAUGAAGGCCUUUGGGUCGUAAAGUUCUGUUCUAGGUGAUGAAAACUGACAGUAACCUAGGAGAAAGCCCCGGCUAACUCCGUG
RNAcentral lists this ribosomal RNA (479 nucleotides) under uncultured bacterium. Its description in RNAcentral is "partial 16S ribosomal RNA". It matches the Rfam family "Bacterial small subunit ribosomal RNA", at positions 28 to 507 of the family's 1533-position model. The record is from RNAcentral.